Molecule: transfer RNA, 86 nt
Filed under: Burkholderia ubonensis
Lineage: Bacteria; Pseudomonadati; Pseudomonadota; Betaproteobacteria; Burkholderiales; Burkholderiaceae
Description: tRNA-Leu
Rfam family: tRNA
About the family: Transfer RNA (tRNA) molecules are approximately 80 nucleotides in length. Their secondary structure includes four short double-helical elements and three loops (D, anti-codon, and T loops).
Source: RNAcentral
GCCCGGAUGGUGAAGUUGGUAGACACAGCAGAUUUAAAAUCUGCCGCACAUAUUGCGUACCGGUUCGAAUCCGGUUCCGGGCACCA